RNAcentral lists this unclassified non-coding RNA (312 nucleotides) under plant metagenome. RNAcentral's name for it is "partial contains 5.8S ribosomal RNA, internal transcribed spacer 2, and large subunit ribosomal RNA". The stretch from base 1 to 105 matches the Rfam family "5.8S ribosomal RNA", at positions 50 to 154 of the family's 154-position model. The record is from RNAcentral.
GAAAUGCGAUAAGUAAUGUGAAUUGCAGAAUUCCGUGAAUCAUCGAAUCUUUGAACGCACAUUGCACCCUCUGGCAUUCCGGGGGGCAUGCCUGUCCGAGCGUCAUUACGCACCCUCAAGCCCGGCUUGUGUGAUGGGCCCCGGCGUCUCGUUCGCGAGACGGGCCCGAAAGGCAGCGGCGGCGUCGACCCGAUGAGCCCGAGCGUAUGGGGACUUCUGUCACACGUUCGCGGUGCGGACCGGCGCCUGCUUGACUUUUCUGAUUAUCCAGGUUGACCUCGGAUCAGGUAGGGAUACCCGCUGAAGUUACGC